This 308-nucleotide long non-coding RNA is filed under the name Dromaius novaehollandiae (emu). RNAcentral's name for it is "lncRNA (ENSDNVG00000010226.1)". The record is from RNAcentral. Lineage: Eukaryota; Metazoa; Chordata; Aves; Casuariiformes; Dromaiidae.
CAGAUGAUCUACCCUGAAGAUUUAUUUAUUCUGAAGGAAAGAGAAAUUCCACCGGGAAUAGUUCCUGAACAGAGGCUUUGGAGAGGAUGCACCUACUCACAAAAAUAAGAGGAUAAGAAGCGGAUUUCUGCAAGCAGUGGGAGAGAAAGAAUAGAUUAUUGCACAAGACACAUUACUGCUUUCAUACUUGUAGGACACUUUCAGAGGAUAAUAGAUGAAAAAUUGGGACCUCUGAUAAUGCCGUCAUUUAAAAAACAAUUCAGAGGUAAGCUGGUCUUCAUCCAUGGUUUCCUUGCAUUGAGAGCAGU